CACCGAGGAGAGCUACAAUGGAUAAACUAACGGGCCACGGGAGGACCGCGCUUUGAUUUAUAAUCCGUAGAGAGAUACCAUCUCUUAUGCCAUUCACAAGAGACAAGUGAAAUAAUGGUUAAGGGAUCUCACAACCUCGGAAAUAAACCACCAAUUCGACAUGGAUCUUUCCAAAACAGAGGUUUGAGCAUCGACAGCGCCUUUUAGAAAUCGUAUGCCUCCGCCUGCUUCGAACGGCGAAUUUGGGAUGAGAAGCAUUUAUCGUUUUCUGUACAGACACAUGUCCUCUCUUCAUAGGUAAAUAAUCUGAUUUCAUUUCCUCGGUAAAACCUAUUCUAUAUGCUAGCCAUAUGCUUCUCAUCCUUUACUGGAACCCUUACUGUUGACUUCCACGCGGAUACGCAGCCCUCCAUUGGAUGGCAAAAGAACCAGGACAAAUUUCCUCGCAUUGAAAAGUGGAACCCAUACGAUACUCUGGCAGUAUGUACGAGGAGGAGUCGGUUGCUAUCUUUGGUUAUCUAGCUGUAUGAGUGUUACUCGGCCAUCAUAAAGCUAGCUAACCGAAUGUAGGAAUGUCCUCCAAACCUGCGACUCUGACAGGAAUAAAUGGUGUCUGGGAGUAAAGACACAAAAUAACAUAAUUGAUAUGCAAUUACAAGCCAAUACCUCAUUGCCUUUCCGGUUGAUCCAGUGCCCUUGUCACUGCAGUGGCUGCCUGAGAUACACCCACAAACUCUGCAGUAUGAACAGCAAACUGUCUACUAAAUGUGACUGCCAGCCAUUCACACCAGGUCUGGUUGAGCAAGGGGAAAGUGGCACAGUCGUCACAAAAAAAACAGAAAGCAGGAGGGGAAGAAAAAGGCCAACCCCCUUGUCCCUCUUCCCUUAAAUCUCCAUCACCGGAAGCCUUUGGUGCCAUCUGUGCCCCUGGAGAAAAGGACGGGCGAGAUGCCUCCACCCUGUGCCAACGGGGACAAAGGAGCUGCCAGUUAGAGCGGCCCCCCUCGCAGGCAGCCAGAGGACUCUGUGUGACUGACUGGGGCUGAGCUACGGAAGCCAUCUUGAUGGAGAGUCUUGCUGCUGCUCCUAAAAUGGCUGUGUUGGCAUGAGGUCCUGCAGGUGUUGACAACCUCUAGGGGAAGAUUCUUCCAUCAGCCCUGAGCCCUUCCUCAUUGGCAUCCUCUCCAGUCAAACACUGAGAAAUGAGGGCACUGAAGAAUCCCCCCUAAAGUUAACAGACAAUGCUUGUAGACAUUUACUGUAAGGAUAAUGUUUGGAGAUAUUUACUGUAAGGACAAUGUAUGGAGAAAUUUACUGUAAGGACAAUGUUUGGAGAUAUUUACUGGAAGGACAAUGUAUUGAGAUAUUUACUGUAAGGACCAUGUUUGGAGAUAUUUACUGGAAGGACAAUGUUUGGAGAUAUUUUUUAUUUUACCUUUAUUUAACCAGGCAAGACAGUUAAGAACAAAUUCUUACUUUCAAUGACGGCCUGGGAACAGUGGGUUAACUGCCUGUUCAGGGGCAGAACGACAGAUUUGUACCUUGUCAGCUAGGGGGUUUGAACUCGCAACCUUCCGGUUACUAGUCCAACGCUCUAACCACUAGGCUACCCUGUUUGCAUAAGUUGCGCACAGAUUAUCUGAUGAUAUAUUGCACGGCUGAGAGUGUAUAGUUUCAACAUAACUUUUAACAUUACUGCAGAAUGUAAGAAUAUGUGUGUAAGAUGUGAAAUCAAAAGGGAUGAGAUCAACAUGUGUUCAUACCUUAAUCUAAGGACAGGUGUGUGUGUGUGGUGCGUGUGCGUGUGUGUGUGUGUGUGAGUACUCUGGAAUGUACUGGGCUUCAGAGAAGCACUACAGUGCCCUAAUGUGUGGGCUGUUUACAAGAGAAGCUCUCUGGAUGUCUAUCCUCUGUCAUGUGCAAUUAGUUACUUUAUGAAUAGAACUGACUACUCUAUGCAAAUAAAUGUGAAUGACUCACCCUCUGGCUGUAUUGCAAAUGUUGUUUAAUGUUUGACUGUCACAGUGAAAAGAAAGACAUUGUUUGGUGAAGAUUCCAUCCAUUUACUGUAUACCCAUCAAAUGCUGCAUUUUUCCUAAUACAAAUAUUAUCUGCAUGCGUUCAUAGUGAUCAGGGAAUGUUCUACAUGAAAUGUGUUAGAUACAGUAUUGAAGCAGUCAGAUUAAUAUCCGUCUCAUUGCCUGAUUUUUAUUAUUAUUCUUAUUCAGAGAGAUAGACAGUUUUGAACAUACCUGCAAUAAAGAAAGGGACACAUACUUGUACACAAACAAGCAUUUCGCUACACUCGCAUUAACAUCUGCUAACCAUGUGUAUGUGACAAAUAAAAUUUGAUUUGAUUUGAAACGUCUUACAAAACAUGUUGUUGUAAUUUAGUUCUGACUUGUCAUGACUUCUGUGCUGUUUGAAUUGAAUGUGUAUACAGAAUAAAUAAUACAACAGAUGUCU
Long non-coding RNA from Oncorhynchus masou masou (cherry salmon), 2466 nucleotides. RefSeq lists it as uncharacterized. The transcript is spliced from 5 exons. Lineage: Eukaryota; Metazoa; Chordata; Actinopteri; Salmoniformes; Salmonidae. The record is from RefSeq and is a predicted model, not a curated record.